AACUAGGAUUAGAUACCCUAUUAUAUUAAAGUUAAAUCUGUAAAUACUGAAUUAUUAAUAGAUAUUUCUUGAAAUUUAAAGAAUUUGGCGGUAAUUUAGUCUUGUCAGAGGAACCUGUUUUUUAAUCGAUACACCACGUUAUAUCUUACUUAUUUUAAAUAGUUUGUAUACCAUCAUUAGUAGAUAAUUUUAAAAGGAAAAAUUAUUGAAAUUAAAUACGUUAAAAAAAUUAGAUCAAGGUGCAGCUAAUAAAUAAGUUAAAAUGGGUUACAAUAAAAUUUAUUUAUAUGGAAUAAUUUAAAAAAUUGAAUUAUAAAGGUGGAUUUGAUUGUAAUAUAAGUUUAAUAAGCUUAUAAGAUACAAGCUCUAAAUUAUGUACACAUCGCCCGUCACUCUCAAAAA
Molecule: ribosomal RNA, 402 nt
Filed under: Potamon ibericum
Lineage: Eukaryota; Metazoa; Arthropoda; Malacostraca; Decapoda; Potamidae
Description: partial small subunit ribosomal RNA
Source: RNAcentral